AAUGGGGGAAACCCUGAUGCAGCGAUGCCGCGUGAGUGAAGAAGGCCUUUGGGUUGUAAAACUCUUUCGUCGGGGAAGAAAUGACUGUACCCGAAUAAGAAGCACCGGCUAACUCCGUGCCAGCAGCCGCGGUAAUACGGAGGGUGCGAACGUUGCUCGGAAUCAUUGGGCGUAAGGCGCGCGUAGGCGGCCUAGUAAGUCGGAUGUGAAAGCCCUCGGCUUAACCGGGGAAGUGCAUUCGAAACUGCUAGGCUUGAGUAUGGGAGAGGGUUGCGGAAUUCCCGGUGUAGAGGUGAAAUUCGUAGAUAUCGGGAGGAACACCAGCGGCGAAGGCGGCAACCUGGACCAAUACUGACGCUGAGGUGCGAAAGCGUGGGGAGCAAACAGGAUU
Molecule: ribosomal RNA, 391 nt
Filed under: uncultured Gammaproteobacteria bacterium
Lineage: Bacteria; Pseudomonadati; Pseudomonadota; Gammaproteobacteria
Description: bacterial SSU rRNA
Rfam family: Bacterial small subunit ribosomal RNA
Source: RNAcentral